ACGGGUGAGUAACGCGUAUGCAAUCUACCCUGUACUGGGGCAUAGCCCGAAGAAAUUCGGAUUAACACCCCAUAGUACUAUUUUUUCGCAUGAUUAAAUAGUUAAAGGUUACGGUACAGGAUGAGCAUGCGUCCCAUUAGCUAGAUGGUAAGGUAACGGCUUACCAUGGCUACGAUGGGUAGGGGGCCUGAGAGGGUGGUCCCCCACACUGGUACUGAGACACGGACCAGACUCC
This 235-nucleotide ribosomal RNA is filed under the name uncultured bacterium. Its description in RNAcentral is "partial 16S ribosomal RNA". It matches the Rfam family "Bacterial small subunit ribosomal RNA", at positions 102 to 339 of the family's 1533-position model. The record is from RNAcentral.